RNAcentral lists this ribosomal RNA (659 nucleotides) under Streptomyces sp. Its description in RNAcentral is "bacterial SSU rRNA". It matches the Rfam family "Bacterial small subunit ribosomal RNA", at positions 137 to 805 of the family's 1533-position model. The record is from RNAcentral. Lineage: Bacteria; Bacillati; Actinomycetota; Actinomycetes; Kitasatosporales; Streptomycetaceae.
UCUGGGACAAGCCCUGGAAACGGGGUCUAAUACCGGAUACAACACUCUCGGGCAUCCGAUGAGUGUGGAAAGCUCCGGCGGUGAAGGAUGAGCCCGCGGCCUAUCAGCUUGUUGGUGAGGUAAUGGCUCACCAAGGCUACGACGGGUAGCCGGCCUGAGAGGGCGACCGGCCACACUGGGACUGAGACACGGCCCAGACUCCUACGGGAGGCAGCAGUGGGGAAUAUUGCACAAUGGGCGAAAGCCUGAUGCAGCGACGCCGCGUGAGGGAUGACGGCCUUCGGGUUGUAAACCUCUUUCAGCAGGGAAGAAGCGAAAGUGACGGUACCUGCAGAAGAAGCGCCGGCUAACUACGUGCCAGCAGCCGCGGUAAUACGUAGGGCGCGAGCGUUGUCCGGAAUUAUUGGGCGUAAAGAGCUCGUAGGCGGUCUGUCGCGUCGGAUGUGAAAGCCCGGGGCUUAACCCCGGGUCUGCAUUCGAUACGGGCAGACUAGAGUGUGGUAGGGGAGAUCGGAAUUCCUGGGUGUAGCGGUGAAAUGCGCAGAUAUCAGGAGGAACCCCGGUGGCGGAAGGCGGAUCUCUGGGCCAUUACUGACGCUGAGGAGCGAAAGCGUGGGGGAGCGAAACAGGAUUAGAUACCCUGGUAGUCCACGCCGUAA